RNAcentral lists this ribosomal RNA (333 nucleotides) under uncultured bacterium. RNAcentral's name for it is "bacterial SSU rRNA". It matches the Rfam family "Bacterial small subunit ribosomal RNA", at positions 1 to 334 of the family's 1533-position model. The record is from RNAcentral.
CAUACGCGUCAGAGUUUGAUCCUGGCUCAGGAUGAACGCUGGCGGCGUGCCUAAUACAUGCAAGUCGAACGAAGUUACUUCGGUAACUUAGUGGCGAACGGGUGAGUAACACAUGAACAACCUACCCUGACGACAGGGAUAACAGUUUGAAAAGACUGCUAAUACCUGAUAGGUGUAACGGGGACAUCCCUGAUACAUUAAAGUUGGGAUACAACGCGACAGGAUGGGUUCAUGUCGCAUUAGCUAGUUGGCGGGGUAACGGCCCACCAAGGCGAUGAUGCGUAGCCGAUCUGAGAGGAUGAACGGCCACAUUGGGACUGAGACACGGCCCAG